Molecule: ribosomal RNA, 576 nt
Filed under: uncultured bacterium
Lineage: Bacteria
Description: bacterial SSU rRNA
Rfam family: Bacterial small subunit ribosomal RNA
Source: RNAcentral
ACGGGUGAGUAAUACAUCGGAACGUAUCCUGGAGUGGGGGAUAGCCCGGCGAAAGCCGGAUUAAUACCGCAUACGCUCUGAGGAGGAAAGCGGGGGACCUUCGGGCCUCGCGCUCAAGGGGCGGCCGAUGGCGGAUUAGGUAGUUGGUGGGGUAAAGGCCUACCAAGCCGACGAUCCGUAGCUGGUCUGAGAGGACGACCAGCCACACUGGGACUGAGACACGGCCCAGACUCCUACGGGAGGCAGCAGUGGGGAAUUUUGGACAAUGGGGGCAACCCUGAUCCAGCAAUGCCGCGUGUGUGAAGAAGGCCUUCGGGUUGUAAAGCACUUUUGUCCGGAAAGAAAUCAUCGGGGCCAAUACCCCUGGUGGAUGACGGUACCGGAAGAAUAAGCACCGGCUAACUACGUGCCAGCAGCCGCGGUAAUACGUAGGGUGCGAGCGUUAAUCGGAAUUACUGGGCGUAAAGCGUGCGCAGGCGGUGCUGUAAGACCGAUGUGAAAUCCCCGGGCUGGACCUGGGAACUGCAUUGGUGACUGCAGCGCUGGAGUAUGGCAGAGGGGGGUGGAAUUCCACGU